AUGGGGAGCACAGAGUAAUAUCCUGAAAUAUUAAAUUUUCAAAUAGUCACAAAUACCAUUCAACCUUUUCUGUACAGGCAUCUAUUCUCUUGCUUAAAUACACUAAUCAUCGCAGUUGUACCUUUACUAAAGGCAAUCAGUUUUGUUUUUAUCCCCAAUUUUAACCUCUAUAAAACAAAGAUAAUAUAUUGACCACAGCAGCCUUUUAAAUACUUGUUAAGAAAAAAUAUAUAAUUACUUUUUCUCAUAUUUAAGAUAAAGCACCUGGUUCCUUCAGCUUUUCUUCAAUGUGGACUAAUUUCUAGUAAUGUUACUCUCCUGGAUGUUGUCUUCUGUGCACAGCCCAGACUUUCAAUAGUUGUCUUAAAAUUGAUGACACCAGCUUAAUAGAGUAUUCCAUAUAUUGACUGGCCAAUCAAGAGCAAAACUGCUUCUCUUAUUUGGGGGAAUAUAUCCUAAUUAACCUAAAAGUAAACACUAUUUCCCUUUGUAGCCACAUCCUGUUGUUGAUUCAAAUUGAACAACCUAGGAACUAAAACCCUGUAACUAAAAUCAAAAUCCGUGGGAUUAUAUCAGUGCCAGCUUUGGCUACACAUUUAAAAUUCCAGGUUUAGGAUGAUGCUGAGAUCCAUCUCAUCGUGCUGUUUGGUGGCUGGCGCUCACUGGAUACUGAUUUCAGAUUCCAGUCUAUUCAGUUUGUACAGACUCACCAUGGGUAUCACCAGAGUGAUUUGCUCUAACCCAGCACUCACAUUUUCUUAUACAAUUUUCCUUUUCUCAUUUCCUUCUUUUAAAGUAGUCUUUUUGAACAACUUGUCUAAUUCUAUGCUUUACCUAAAACCCACUGAGGUAAAUGGAAUCAAAGGAAAGUCACUACAAUACCAAAGGAUGUACCUGGACUUGAAAAGGCUAAUUAUGCUUGAAUGAAUAUUAGAGAAUGACAAAUGUUUGUGCAAAUAUUUGCCCAUCUGUGUGAAUGACUAUGAAAUCCUAUGUUUACCUACAAUUGUCAUUAUGAUGUGGGAUUGAUGAAAUAUGUACAAAUAAUUUUUCUUAAACUAAGCUUUUUUUUUUUUUUUUUUUAAAUGGCACCCUUUGUAAUAUAUACCACCAGUGGCAAGUUAUAUCAGGCUAAUGUACAGCCUGAGGUGGUGUCAAGAAACAAUGAGAUAUUUCACCCAAUCAUAUCCCUUCUCAUUGGUCACUAUUGUAGAGUUGAUGAUUUUUCUCAACUCCCCCUCCUGCCAUAUGCCUGGCAGUGCACGUGCAAGGAUGGAGUGUAUUUUCCCUCCUCAUUGAUGUUGAAGUUGACCCUCUGAAGUUUUUGGCCAACAGACAUGGAAUUCUGAGCCAAAGUCUUCAGAGGCAUCACAUGUUUUAUUUUGCCCUCAGAGCCUCCUGCGGGCCACUGUGAAGGGGUCAUGGCUUGGGUAACUCCUGGUAUUUUAGUAUGUGGAGACAUAAUGAGCCUACCUACAGCCAACCAAACUGAAGCCUGAGACAAAUCCCAACCAACCUACACUCUGUGGCAGAGCCUCUUCAGACAAGCCAUAGACCUGCAAGAAGGGAAAAGAGCAGAGAAGAUUGAGCUUUGGGAGUCAAGUGGCAGACAGCUGUGGUUUCGGCUUCCAGCGGUCACACAACUCCAGAGGGACCGGAAGGUCAAGGGAAGCAUGUAGGACCGCAGGCUGUUCACGUGGCUCGGAGGAGGAGAUGACCAACCCCUAAUAAAACACCGUCUGCCGGACAUGCCAUUGGGACUGGCAUGCUAAUUGAAAGCAGCAGGAGUGGGGUUGCCCCUCUUUGACUUUAGCGCUCAGCUUGAAAUAACUUUUCCUUCCACAGAAAAAGAAGUACUCAGCCAGUAAAGCAGUACUGUUAUUAAAAAAAAAAAAAAAAAAGAUUCAAACAAGCCAGCAUCACUGCUCCAGUAGAAGAUAAAGAAAUAUUUAUUUCUCUUUAUUUACUUUUUCAGCAAGUUCAUUAUCUUGUUUAUUUCCUUUUGACUGGGUCAAAGCUUGAUACUGCUGUACACAAAUAUUUUAUCAUCUUAGAGGAGAGAAUAUCUGUUAAUCCAAUUCAUCUUUCAAUAAUAGUAGUGCCCUGUUAUUUUUUAACUAUUUAUUUUUUUUCUAAAUCAAAAUAACACAGGCACAUAGGUCAACCGUUCUGUAUUAUUUUCAUGGAAUGGCAGGCAGCAUGCUAUCUACCUCCCUGCAACCUGGUGUUCCCUUCCCAGAAGUAACUUCUUUGUAAUCCUUUGGCUACUUCCCUUGCUACUUACCUAUGAAGCAUUUUUAAAUAUUGAGUAUUUAGUUUAGCAUUAGUUUUAGUUUUGUAAAAGGCAUUAUAUACUAACUUUCCACUAUGGAAAAGGAAAUUUAGCUUGUGUCACUAUAUUUUCCUUAUUCACUUUCUGAUUCCUCAGCCUCUCAAUAUAGUUGUAUCCUAACUCCAUGAUUCUCCCUUAAAAAAAAAAAAAAAAAACAAACAGAAAAACAAAGAAAUGAAAACUUUUCUUCACCCUAUGUAGACUCACAUAUCCAAGUUGCUUUUAUCCCGUAUCUUUUGCAAUAUUUAUGCCUUUUAUGCUAGAAGAUUUCUUCAAGUGUUGACAAUCAUUUACAGUCUCUUCUUAAAUAGUUCAGACUGUGAUAUGAAUAAAGUGAUUGUAAAA
RNAcentral lists this long non-coding RNA (2677 nucleotides) under Sus scrofa (pig). RNAcentral describes it as "lncRNA (ENSSSCG00030074436.1)". Lineage: Eukaryota; Metazoa; Chordata; Mammalia; Artiodactyla; Suidae. The record is from RNAcentral.